CAAACACGGAGCGAAUGUUUUGCCGCAUGCACACGUGAUUUACUUUAAUAGUGUCGAGGGGGUGUCCGGCAAACACGAGGCAGACGCCACCGAAACCUCCAGCGAAGAAGUUCUUCAUUGGGCUGAUCGGCUGCGGCUGUUUCGACAUUUUGACUUUCCGCUUUGGAGAUAUAGUAAUAGAAACAAAGACUAUUAGGACGUGAGGAUCAGUAGUUUGCAGUAUACAUGCAGCGAAACAAAACGGACGUCAGUUAGCUCACCUGGUCGGGCACAGCUAUGAGCGGAAAUGUCUGUCAAGUGCUUUGCCGUCUUACCGAUGGACCUUUCACCUACUUGUAGACCCGGACGGAUUUGACUACAACACACAGCGAGUCUGCGCACCCUUCAUCCUCCCCGGGGUCUUCCUCCUCCCCGAGAAUCCUCUGCAGCGCUCCUUGCAGGUCAGAAAGGCGGUGACGGUGCUCCAGGUAAUCCGUAGAGCGCACGAUGGAGUGCAUGAGGGAGAGGUACUCCAUGCGGAGCUUUCGAUGAAGAUAGUGAGAGAGAAGAACAUUUAUGUGACAAUUUUCACAGAAAAAUCUUCUCUUGCUGGGUAACACACAGUGAAUCCAGAAAAUGAACCACUUUUUUACAAGAUCAGACAUUUCUGAUGCAAAAAUAAGACCAUGACACAUUAUUUAUUUAUGUUGAAAAAAAAUUUGAAUUAUAACCUGUAAAAGUCAGUAAAAACAAAAAACACACAUUCAGUCUUUUUAGGUAGAAUGACAUAUCUUGGCUUGCGCUGUUAAAUUAUCGAACAUUAAAAUAGUUUUUCCUCAUAGUUUUAAUAAUGAUAAUAAAUUUAAUUGCUUUUGACAAUAACUCACACGGUUAUACUGCCUUGAAGUGAGGUGUUAGGAGUCACGUUUUACUUCACUUACCAAAUAUAAUUCAUUGCUCUAUAAAGGGCCUAGUUUGAAGCUUGAUUCUAAAAAUAAGAAACAAAUAUACUGUGUAAGACUCCAUUUAUUUCCCGAAACAGUUACUUUGAAGCUUGAGUCUAAAUACCACGGUAAAACCUUCUCUUUUCCUAUAACAUUCAAAUUUGAAUCAAUUUUAUGAGCUUAAGUGUUUGCCUGAAAACACAAGCAGCCUAUGGAAUGAUCAAAGUGAUGUUAAGCAUCUUUGAGUGUCCUCCCAGGUCACCUUGUCUCCGGGUGAAAGGUCAGAGAUCUGCCGCACGGCUAUGUCAAUCAUCACCAUCAUGUCGGUACGGUAGAAGAUGUCGGCCGUCUCUCGACUGGCAAAGACGUCCUGCAGAAACUUGAGCACGGCGUGAGGCGCGGGCGGCAUGUGCUUGAACAUACACACGGGGUCAUCUGCAGAGGAGUGAACGCACAGAGACGGUCGUGUGGAACACAGGAGGACGGACGGGAACAAAACAAGCACGUACCUCCUCGGUUGAGCAGCAGCAGGACCUUCUCGGUCAGAAUCUUGACGUUCUUCUUCUUCAGCUGCUCCAUGAUGACGUUGCUGCUCGGCGCUGCAUGACAAAAACAUUCCAGCUGUCAGCGGUCACCUGUGUGGUGAAGGUUGAAGGCCAGCACGAGGUUGAGGAAGAGGUCAGGCAGCUGCUCCGUGGGGUCACAGGGAUGUCCGUCCUCCACCACAUUCAGCAGGAACUGCACAAAGUCGCCAUUCAAGUGCUCUGAAAGCGAGGCGGAAGAGCACUGCGUCAACAGGACACCAGACACUGUGCUUUUUUGCAACACUGUCACACUUCAGCAUCCUUGUACUUUGGCACAUGUUAACUUGCCCAAACACGGAUUCACAAAAACAUUUGGAAAUGUGUCUUGUCUGGACCAUUACAUUGUAGAGUGCACACUGGGGCGCAAUGUCACAGGAUUUAGUUAUUAAUUGGGAUUACAUUUAUUUAUUGCAUUUUCUGCAGCAGACUGUAUACAAGGUAUAUGUGGGUGACAACCUAUAAAACAGUAAAUACAAGGAUAGCUGUACCAUUAAAUAGGAUUCCAUUACAUUCAGAUUUUUAUGUGCAACUCCACAGUGUUAUACAAUUCAUGGUUCCUCUGAAUGCAUGCUGUACAGGUAUAACUAUGUGUCUGACAAAGUAUCUUGUUUGAAAAAAGGAGGAAAGAAAUUGCUAGAUUUUGUUUUUUUUCUGAUUACAAUGGCAAAUCUCUCGACUUAUUUCAAGUGAAAUUUUGCAAGUUGAAACAAACAUUGUCUAAAAACAAGUUACUUUUUCACAAGAUGUCUUUUUUAAGUGUGAUUAGUCUUAUUUUAAGUGUAAUCAAAUUAGUUUUGCCUAGAAGUAAGACAAAUAUCCUUAGAAGAUUGAGUUUCUGUAGUGUACUUACUGUUUUUCAUCUGAUUGCUUUAUAUUUAUGGCCUAGAAGUCCUUAAUACCAAUAUUUACUGUAAUGAUGACUUUUACUGAACUCUGUCAGAAACGGAGAUGUCCGUGUACAUACUCAUCAUCAACAAGUGCCCUACCAUAGUGAUGAUAUGGCACCUGUUCCCCCAUUGAGAAAAUCAUAGUAAGUACCAAGGCUGUGUAACACAUCUUCUGAUGCUCUGAGCAAUGAGAAACAAAGAGACAACACAAAUGAGUCAUGAAUAUGUGUACCGUACAUACGAGAUCACUAAAGCAAUAAUAACCUUGCGUGUCCGUCUGUAAGUCCCUGGCGAGCUCCAUAGGGAGGAUGGAGUUGAGGAGGCUGGAGAUGAGCGCAGCAUCCAGACUGCACAUGGCGCCAAACACUUUAAGCAGCAGCAGCCGCAAAGACACUCGAAGCUCCUGCGAGGUCAGACUGAUUUGUCACUCGUGGUUCUCCGAGAUGAUUUUGAAGCGUAUCAACAACGGGAUGAGGGAGGAAGCCAGUGGACAAGGAGGACAUACACGUACCGCCUACAUAUCUGAUGUGGCAUCUGUAAAGCUGAUGUUCAUGGUGGAGGAUUUUGUUUUUAUAUUACUUGUAAAUAUAAAUGCAUAGUAAAUACAUUAUACAAACUAUAAUACAGUACAUAGGACCCCCACAUACUCACGGUUCGGCACCCGCGGAUACACAUUUGCUGAUUUUUUUCUCUCAAUAUUUUUCCACCUUUUUCUUUCUUUUCGGGGGGGACCAACCCCCAAACACUUAUUGGUGGCUUAUCCCUGCUUAUUCAAGAAUU
Phycodurus eques (leafy seadragon) is the source of this 3174-nucleotide long non-coding RNA. RefSeq lists it as uncharacterized. The record is from RefSeq and is a predicted model, not a curated record. NCBI's taxonomy places the organism in Eukaryota, Metazoa, Chordata, Actinopteri, Syngnathiformes, Syngnathidae. The transcript is spliced from 3 exons.